CUACGGGAGGCAGCAGUGGGGAAUUUUGGACAAUGGGGGCAACCCUGAUCCAGCCAUGCCGCGUGCGGGAAGAAGGCCUUCGGGUUGUAAACCGCUUUUAGUCGGGAAGAAAAGGCGCCGGAUAACACCUGGCGUUCUUGACGGUACCGGCGGAAUAAGCACCGGCUAACUACGUGCCAGCAGCCGCGGUAAUACGUAGGGUGCGAGCGUUAAUCGGAAUUACUGGGCGUAAAGCGUGCGCAGGCGGUUCGUUAAGUUUGCGGUGAAAGCCCCGGGCUCAACCUGGGAAUGGCCGUGGAAACUGGCGGGCUGGAGUGCGGCAGAGGGGGGUGGAAUUCCGCGUGUAGCAGUGAAAUGCGUAGAGAUGCGGAGGAACACCGAUGGCGAAGGCAGCCCCCUGGGCCGACACUGACGCUCAGGCACGAAAGCGUGGGGAGCAAACAGGAUUAGAAACCCGAGUAGUCC
This 465-nucleotide ribosomal RNA is filed under the name uncultured bacterium. Its description in RNAcentral is "bacterial SSU rRNA". It matches the Rfam family "Bacterial small subunit ribosomal RNA", at positions 339 to 796 of the family's 1533-position model. The record is from RNAcentral.